This 514-nucleotide ribosomal RNA is filed under the name uncultured Ottowia sp. RNAcentral's name for it is "bacterial SSU rRNA". It matches the Rfam family "Bacterial small subunit ribosomal RNA", at positions 521 to 1036 of the family's 1533-position model. Lineage: Bacteria; Pseudomonadati; Pseudomonadota; Betaproteobacteria; Burkholderiales; Comamonadaceae. The record is from RNAcentral.
UAAUACGAAGGGACCUAGCGUAGUUCGGAAUUACUGGGCGUAAAGCGCGCGUAGGCCGUUGAGUUAGUUAAUUGUGAAAUCCCAAAGCUUAACUUUGGAACUGCAAUUAAACUGCUCGACUAGAGUUUGAUAGAGGAAAGCGGAAUACAUAGUGUAGAGGUGAAAUUCGUAGAUAUUAUGUAGAACACCAGUUGCGAAGGCGGCUUUCUGGAUCAACACUGACGCUGAGGCGCGAAAGUAUGGGUAGCAAAGAGGAUUAGAUACCCUCGUAGUCCAUACCAUAAACGAUGAUUGCUAGAUGUUGGAAAUUUAUUUUCAGUAUCGCAGCUAACGCAUUAAGCAAUCCGCCUGGGGAGUACGACCGCAAGGUUAAAACUCAAAGGAAUUGACGGGGACCCGCGCAAGCGGUGGAUGAUGUGGUUUAAUUCGAUGCAACGCGAAAAACCUUACCCACCUUUGACAUGUACGGAAGGAUCCAGAGAUGGAUUUGUGCUCGAAAGAGAACCGUAACACA